AAGUCGUAACAAGGUUUCCGUAGGUGAACCUGCGGAAGGAUCAUUACAACGUCCAAAAGACAAACCAAUCGUGAACUCAGUACCCUUUGGACUAAAGGCAGAGCGGAUGUAAACCUUUUGUGAUGAAGGCGCCUCGGCGCCUUGGGUUGAUCCGAUCGCAGCAUUUCGGUGCUGACUUUGGCUUCCGAAGCGGUUUAUCUACAUCACUUCUAACAUUACUAAACCCUUUAACACUUUUGAACUGACUUGUUGUUAACGCGGUGCUCCUUUUUGGAGUGCUACUUAACAAUUGAUUACGUAAAUUACGAACAACUCUUAACAACGGAUAUCUUGGUUCUC
RNAcentral lists this unclassified non-coding RNA (339 nucleotides) under fungal sp. Its description in RNAcentral is "partial internal transcribed spacer region". The stretch from base 1 to 46 matches the Rfam family "Eukaryotic small subunit ribosomal RNA", at positions 1786 to 1831 of the family's 1831-position model. Lineage: Eukaryota; Fungi. The record is from RNAcentral.